UGCAAUGGUGGCUGUGCGCGGGAGAUCUUCGGGUCUGCCGGGCUCCUGUACCCCCGGUUCGCUAACCUGCGUACAGCCGCCACCCUA
Molecule: non-coding RNA, 87 nt
Filed under: Pseudomonas sp. NFACC32-1
Lineage: Bacteria; Pseudomonadati; Pseudomonadota; Gammaproteobacteria; Pseudomonadales; Pseudomonadaceae
Also listed under: 1 other name
Source: RNAcentral